GGUGAASAAGUAUUUCGGUAUGUAAAGCUCUAUCAGCAGGGAAGAAAGGCUCUAAGGAGAGAUGACGGUACCUGACUAARAAGCCCCGGCUAACUACGUGCCAGCAGCCGCGGUAAUACGUAGGGGGCAAGCGUUAUCCGGAUUUACUGGGUGUAAAGGGAGCGCAGACGGUCAAGCMAGUCUGGAGUGAAACCCCACGGCUCAACCGUGGGCUUGCUUUGGAAACUGUUUGACUAGAGUACUGGAGAGGUAAGCGGAAUUCCUAKUGUAGCGGUGAAAUGCGUAGAUAUUASGAGGAACAUCGGUGGCGAAGGCGGCUUACUGGACAGCAACUGACGUUGAGGCUCGAAGGCGUGGGGAGCAAACAGGAUUAKAUACCCUGGUAGUCCACGCGGUAAACGAUGAAUAYUAGGUGUUGG
RNAcentral lists this ribosomal RNA (419 nucleotides) under uncultured Lachnospiraceae bacterium. Its description in RNAcentral is "bacterial SSU rRNA". It matches the Rfam family "Bacterial small subunit ribosomal RNA", at positions 404 to 826 of the family's 1533-position model. Lineage: Bacteria; Bacillati; Bacillota; Clostridia; Lachnospirales; Lachnospiraceae. The record is from RNAcentral.